ACUCCUACGGGAGGCAGCAGUAAGGAAUAUUGGUCAAUGGACGCAAGUCUGAACCAGCCAUGCCGCGUGAAGGAUGAAGGUCCUCUGGAUUGUAAACUUCUUUUAUAUGGGACGAAACCCUCGAUUUCUAUCGGGAUUGACGGUACCAUAGGAAUAAGCACCGGCUAACUCCGUGCCAGCAGCCGCGGUAAUACGGAGGGUGCAAGCGUUAUCCGGAUUCACUGGGUUUAAAGGGUGCGUAGGAGGGCAGGUAAGUCAGUGGUGAAAUCCCCGAGCUUAACUUGGGAACUGCCGUUGAUACUAUCUGUCUUGAAUACCGUGGAGGUGAGCGGAAUAUGUCAUGUAGCGGUGAAAUGCUUAGAUAUGACAUAGAACACCAAUUGCGAAGGCAGCUCGCUACACGAAUAUUGACUCUGAGGCACGAAAGCGUGGGGAUCAAACAGGAUUAGAUACCCUGGUAGUCCACGCCCUAAACGAUGGAUACUCGACAUACGCGAUACACAGUGUGUGUCUGAGCGAAAGCAUUAAGUAUCCCACCUGGGAAGUACGACCGCAAGGUUGAAACUUAAAGGAAUUGACG
RNAcentral lists this ribosomal RNA (580 nucleotides) under uncultured Flavisolibacter sp. RNAcentral describes it as "bacterial SSU rRNA". It matches the Rfam family "Bacterial small subunit ribosomal RNA", at positions 335 to 915 of the family's 1533-position model. Lineage: Bacteria; Pseudomonadati; Bacteroidota; Chitinophagia; Chitinophagales; Chitinophagaceae. The record is from RNAcentral.